UACGAAGGGGGCUAGCGUUGUUCGGAAUCACUGGGCGUAAAGCGCACGUAGGCGGAUUGUUAAGUUAGGGGUGAAAUCCCGGGGCUCAACCUCGGAACUGCCUCUGAUACUGGCAAUCUUGAGAUCGGGAGAGGAGGGUGGAACUCCGAGGGUAGAGGUGAAAGUCGUAGAUAUUCGGAAGAACACCAGAGGCGAAGGCGGCACGCGGGACCGAUACUGACGCUGAGGUGCGAAAGCGUGGGGAGCAAACAGG
Molecule: unclassified non-coding RNA, 253 nt
Filed under: Alphaproteobacteria bacterium
Lineage: Bacteria; Pseudomonadati; Pseudomonadota; Alphaproteobacteria
Description: contains 16S-23S intergenic spacer region
Rfam family: Bacterial small subunit ribosomal RNA
Source: RNAcentral